Non-coding RNA from Pelosinus fermentans B4, 86 nucleotides. The record is from Rfam. Lineage: Bacteria; Bacillati; Bacillota; Negativicutes; Selenomonadales; Sporomusaceae.
UACCAUAAUGAGCAAACCAACCUAAAGGUGGGGACGCAAAGCCAUGGGUCUAAGGAUGUUACAUCUAUGAUUGCCAGGUUGCAUCG